ACCUGACCACACGGGAGCGCACCCGCACGUGCGCUGAGAGGACGGCAACGGGCCGUCGACCGUAGAACCUGACCGGGUAAUGCCGGCGUAGGGAGUGACAAUGAAAUUGCA
RNAcentral lists this non-coding RNA (111 nucleotides) under Mycolicibacterium chubuense. RNAcentral describes it as "Mycobacterium chubuense TPP sequence". It matches the Rfam family "TPP riboswitch aptamer (THI element)". From Rfam's summary of the family: Vitamin B(1) in its active form thiamin pyrophosphate (TPP) is an essential coenzyme that is synthesised by coupling of pyrimidine and thiazole moieties in bacteria. The previously detected thiamin-regulatory element, thi box was extended, resulting in a new, highly conserved RNA secondary structure, the THI element, which is widely distributed in eubacteria and also occurs in some archaea. The record is from Rfam by way of RNAcentral. Lineage: Bacteria; Bacillati; Actinomycetota; Actinomycetes; Mycobacteriales; Mycobacteriaceae.